CCUACGGGUGGCUGCAGUGGGGAAUUUUCCGCAAUGGGCGAAAGCCUGACGGAGCAAUACCGCGUGAGGGAGGAAGGCUCUUGGGUUGUAAACCUCUUUUCUCAAGGAAUAAAAAGUUGAAGGUACUUGAGGAAUAAGCAUCGGCUAACUCCGUGCCAGCAGCCGCGGUAAUACGGAGGAUGCAAGCGUUAUCCGGAAUAAUUGGGCGUAAAGGGUCCGCAGGUGGUGUUAAAAGUCUGUUGUCAAAGAAUCUGGCUUAACCAGGUAAAGGCAAU
Molecule: ribosomal RNA, 275 nt
Filed under: uncultured bacterium
Lineage: Bacteria
Description: partial 16S ribosomal RNA
Rfam family: Bacterial small subunit ribosomal RNA
Source: RNAcentral